AGGAAUUUAGGCUAAACCAGACCAAGGGCCUUCAAAGCCCUAAGUAAGUGCAACCCACUUAAUUCCUG
This 68-nucleotide transfer RNA is filed under the name Procyon lotor (raccoon). Its description in RNAcentral is "transfer RNA-Trp". The record is from RNAcentral. Lineage: Eukaryota; Metazoa; Chordata; Mammalia; Carnivora; Procyonidae.